GUCUGACAUGGACCCACGGUAGCAAGUCUUGCUCCAUCAUUUGGCCGCGGCGCCAUGAC
Wohlfahrtiimonas chitiniclastica SH04 is the source of this 59-nucleotide regulatory RNA element. It matches the Rfam family "Selenocysteine insertion sequence 3". The record is from Rfam. Lineage: Bacteria; Pseudomonadati; Pseudomonadota; Gammaproteobacteria; Cardiobacteriales; Ignatzschineriaceae.